GCUGAGCGUUUCAUAAGAGUCCGGAGAGAUUGCACAGAAAGAAUUUAAAAAAAACCCAGUGACUGUGUCACAAGGAAAAGCAUUCACCGCGUGACCUUUGUUUACGAAGAGAAUGUCGCAUUAUUACAUCUAAGACAUCUUUCGCUUCCCCUAGCUGAAGCAUUAGGUAACUUGGCUGGGUGAGACAGAGGCGACUGGGUGAACUGGGGAAGCAGCACAAAACGGAAGCGGCCACUACCAGAGAGAAGUAUCUGGAAGCUAAGUGUUGGGGAUGUACACGCUGCCGGCUUGUGAUGUCUGCUUUCAGGAGAACAACAAAGCUACUGUUCCGUUCAUUUAUAUUAACGAGGAAUCUUAUAUAUACUGAAUAUGUACGUGAAACGCUCUUCUGAAAGGCACGCCCAAGCAUGUUAGAAGCAACGCUGUUAUAUAGCAAAACAAGUUUUACACAGAUAUCACCUGGUUCACGGUACUUCCAGUUGGACUGGGUGUAAGAACAGUGCCAUAGGUUACAGAUUAAUCCAUCCAUCCAUCCUCCACCUACUUAUCUGUUCCAGUACAAAGGAGGAGGAAACUGGUACAACAUGGGGAAAACAUCCAAACUGCACACACCUGCAGCAGUAGAGUUUCUGAUCCUCAGUUUCCCAUAAAUUAAAUGCUCUGAAAAUGCAAAGCGGAGCGUGGAUGAGCACUGCAGUAACCUAACGAGGGCUGCCAGGAACAGGCAAGACCGAAGCACAUCUGAAACACAAAGAACCUUUCACUUCAGAAAAUGGAAAAGAAAAUCCUCAAAGAAACUAAAUUCUGUUGUUGGUGGGUAAACAGAUUCCUAUUUAAACAAACUUUGCUAUCUU
Brienomyrus brachyistius is the source of this 854-nucleotide long non-coding RNA. RefSeq lists it as uncharacterized. NCBI's taxonomy places the organism in Eukaryota, Metazoa, Chordata, Actinopteri, Osteoglossiformes, Mormyridae. The transcript has 2 exons. The record is from RefSeq and is a predicted model, not a curated record.